Molecule: non-coding RNA, 1576 nt
Organism: Misgurnus anguillicaudatus (oriental weatherfish)
Lineage: Eukaryota; Metazoa; Chordata; Actinopteri; Cypriniformes; Cobitidae
Source: RefSeq, a predicted model, not a curated record
GAAACAAAACAUCAACAUCUAAACCUAGUAAGUCAAUUGAGUUUAUUAACUGAACAUUCAGAAAUAAUGUUUUCUAAAAUAAUAAAAUGCAAUGUUGCUCUAUCAUUUACAUAACAAUUAAACAAGUAAAUAUAAUAAACAGCUGUUGUUUUAAACAUUGUGUGAACAUUAAAACAUGACAUUGUCAUAACGUUUAAAAAUGGUAAAAUGUAACAUUACUCUAACGUUCAGACAACAGAAACGUUCCUAGAACUUAAAAAAAAACUGGACACUUUUAACGUUGGCAGAAUGUUUUUGGGAACAUUGGGAACUUUCAGGGAACGUUCUUAGAACUUUUUAUUUCUAGCUGGGAUAAUGCUAACCAAAUUUAGUUUGAUAAAUUUCUAAGGACACAUAAUUACAUAAUGCCAAAGUAACUAUAUGCAAGUACAUGAAUGUCAAGAAUAAAAUCCUGAAAUUUACUUUGUCAUUCCAAUCUCAUGUAACAUAGGCCCUAUUUACACAUGGCAUUGGAUGAGUCUUGAGACCACAUUUGCUUUAAGGGGAAAGGGACAGCACACUACUUACUAUGAUAAUGAGUAAUGACUUUGCAAAAAAAGUGUUGGGGGAAGGAUGUAUUAUUACAGUGUUUUUGUUGUUUAUUAAUAGUUUAAUGUCAUGCCACCUACCCAGCUAGAAUUAUGAAUACAAAUAAAAGAUGAAAAAUGAAACAUUUAUUCUUGAUAAAUAUUCUAAAAUUAAAUCUGGUCUUACAAAAUAGGUGCAGUUCACCUGCCGAAUCAAGCACUGUCUCUUCUUCCAUUGCAGUUCUUCAUAGUACAAGAGACGGCUGACCAAACAUCACACCAUAGAGGCUCAAUUCUAAAAAAAAAAGAGAGAAGUAUGGUCAAAUCGUAGCUUAUUUAAAAAAAUUUGUCCAUAGUAAAUCAUCAUGUGAAGUAUUAUGGAAACCAAAUUAGUGGCAUUUCAACAUUAAGGGCAGAUAGGCUGAAUACCACCAGUCGUCAUUUACUCACCAUCAAGUCGUUCCAAACCCUUAAGACUUUUGUUCAUCUUCUGAACACAAGUAAAGAUCUUUAAAAUGUUAUCUUUUCAAAGAGAGCUUUCUGUCUCACCAGUAACAGCAAACAUGACUACCACUUUCAAGGAUACACAUAUCUGAGAUUACUCACGGCUCUGUUGUCUCUGAUCAACACACUCGACUCCCGGCUCGCCCACCCGUUUCACACUCGGAGGCUUCCAAUAUCAUCAACACAGUGAGUGCAAUUCGCCCAGACUGUUGUCCACACACAGCGGUCUCCAACACUCGCCCACUGUUAUCUCCUCUUGCAACGACUCAGCCCGCAGACACUACCAGCGAUCUUUUCAGCACAAACGAACACUUCAACUUCCUUCAACCAACCACGCUGUCCUUUCUCCCAGACCAGCCCCGCACUCUUUCCGCUGAUGAUGCUUGCUAUGCUAUUUCAUAUUACCCAAGAAAGACGGUUUGAAGCUGAGGAGUCUGUACAGGCACAGGACUGACAACUUGAGGUUUUAUCUUGAAGACAUUGUUCAAUAAAAAAACUUUUAUUUA